This 2796-nucleotide ribosomal RNA is filed under the name Bacillus anthracis (anthrax bacterium). Its description in RNAcentral is "bacterial LSU rRNA". It matches the Rfam family "Bacterial large subunit ribosomal RNA". Lineage: Bacteria; Bacillati; Bacillota; Bacilli; Caryophanales; Bacillaceae. The record is from RNAcentral.
AGGGCGCACGGUGGAUGCCUUGACACUAGGAGUCGAUGAAGGACGGGACUAACGCCGAUAUGCUUCGGGGAGCUGUAAGUAAGCUUUGAUCCGAAGAUUUCCGAAUGGGGAAACCCACCAUACGUAAUGGUAUGGUAUCCUUAUCUGAAUACAUAGGAUAAGGAAGACAGACCCAGGGAACUGAAACAUCUAAGUACCUGGAGGAAGAGAAAGCAAAUGCGAUUUCCUGAGUAGCGGCGAGCGAAACGGAACAUAGCCCAAACCAAGAGGCUUGCCUCUUGGGGUUGUAGGACAUUCUAUACGGAGUUACAAAGGAACGAGGUAGACGAAGCGACCUGGAAAGGUCCGUCGUAGAGGGUAACAACCCCGUAGUCGAAACUUCGUUCUCUCUUGAAUGUAUCCUGAGUACGGCGGAACACGUGAAAUUCCGUCGGAAUCUGGGAGGACCAUCUCCCAAGGCUAAAUACUCCCUAGUGAUCGAUAGUGAACCAGUACCGUGAGGGAAAGGUGAAAAGCACCCCGGAAGGGGAGUGAAAGAGAUCCUGAAACCGUGUGCCUACAAAUAGUCAGAGCCCGUUAACGGGUGAUGGCGUGCCUUUUGUAGAAUGAACCGGCGAGUUACGAUCCCGUGCGAGGUUAAGCUGAAGAGGCGGAGCCGCAGCGAAAGCGAGUCUGAAUAGGGCGUUUAGUACGUGGUCGUAGACCCGAAACCAGGUGAUCUACCCAUGUCCAGGGUGAAGUUCAGGUAACACUGAAUGGAGGCCCGAACCCACGCACGUUGAAAAGGGUGGGUAGCGGAGAAAUUCCAAUCGAACCUGGAGAUAGCUGGUUCUCCCCGAAAUAGCUUUAGGGCUAGCCUUAAGUGUAAGAGUCUUGGAGGUAGAGCACUGAUUGGACUAGGGGUCCUCAUCGGAUUACCGAAUUCAGUCAAACUCCGAAUGCCAAUGACUUAUCCUUAGGAGUCAGACUGCGAGUGAUAAGAUCCGUAGUCAAAAGGGAAACAGCCCAGACCGCCAGCUAAGGUCCCAAAGUGUGUAUUAAGUGGAAAAGGAUGUGGAGUUGCUUAGACAACUAGGAUGUUGGCUUAGAAGCAGCCACCAUUUAAAGAGUGCGUAAUAGCUCACUAGUCGAGUGACUCUGCGCCGAAAAUGUACCGGGGCUAAAUACACCACCGAAGCUGCGGAUUGAUACCAAUGGUAUCAGUGGUAGGGGAGCGUUCUAAGGACAGUGAAGUCAGACCGGAAGGACUGGUGGAGUGCUUAGAAGUGAGAAUGCCGGUAUGAGUAGCGAAAGACGGGUGAGAAUCCCGUCCACCGAAUGCCUAAGGUUUCCUGAGGAAGGCUCGUCCGCUCAGGGUUAGUCAGGACCUAAGCCGAGGCCGACAGGCGUAGGCGAUGGACAACAGGUUGAUAUUCCUGUACCACCUCUUUAUCGUUUGAGCAAUGGAGGGACGCAGAAGGAUAGAAGAAGCGUGCGAUUGGUUGUGCACGUCCAAGCAGUUAGGCUGAUAAGUAGGCAAAUCCGCUUAUCGUGAAGGCUGAGCUGUGAUGGGGAAGCUCCUUAUGGAGCGAAGUCUUUGAUUCCCCGCUGCCAAGAAAAGCUUCUAGCGAGAUAAAAUGCCUGUACCGCAAACCGACACAGGUAGGCGAGGAGAGAAUCCUAAGGUGUGCGAGAGAACUCUGGUUAAGGAACUCGGCAAAAUGACCCCGUAACUUCGGGAGAAGGGGUGCUUUCUUAACGGAAAGCCGCAGUGAAUAGGCCCAAGCGACUGUUUAGCAAAAACACAGCUCUCUGCGAAGCCGUAAGGCGAAGUAUAGGGGGUGACACCUGCCCGGUGCUGGAAGGUUAAGGAGAGGGGUUAGCGUAAGCGAAGCUCUGAACUGAAGCCCCAGUAAACGGCGGCCGUAACUAUAACGGUCCUAAGGUAGCGAAAUUCCUUGUCGGGUAAGUUCCGACCCGCACGAAAGGUGUAACGAUUUGGGCACUGUCUCAACCAGAGACUCGGUGAAAUUAUAGUACCUGUGAAGAUGCAGGUUACCCGCGACAGGACGGAAAGACCCCGUGGAGCUUUACUGUAGCCUGAUAUUGAAUUUUGGUACAGUUUGUACAGGAUAGGCGGGAGCCUUUGAAACCGGAGCGCUAGCUUCGGUGGAGGCGCUGGUGGGAUACCGCCCUGACUGUAUUGAAAUUCUAACCUACGGGUCUUAUCGACCCGGGAGACAGUGUCAGGUGGGCAGUUUGACUGGGGCGGUCGCCUCCUAAAUGUAACGGAGGCGCCCAAAGGUUCCCUCAGAAUGGUUGGAAAUCAUUCGUAGAGUGCAAAGGCAUAAGGGAGCUUGACUGCGAGACCUAAGUCGAGCAGGGACGAAAGUCGGGCUUAGUGAUCCGGUGGUUCCGCAUGGAAGGGCCAUCGCUCAACGGAUAAAAGCUACCCCGGGGAUAACAGGCUUAUCUCCCCCAAGAGUCCACAUCGACGGGGAGGUUUGGCACCUCGAUGUCGGCUCAUCGCAUCCUGGGGCUGUAGUCGGUCCCAAGGGUUGGGCUGUUCGCCCAUUAAAGCGGUACGCGAGCUGGGUUCAGAACGUCGUGAGACAGUUCGGUCCCUAUCCGUCGUGGGCGUAGGAAAUUUGAGAGGAGCUGUCCUUAGUACGAGAGGACCGGGAUGGACGCACCGCUGGUGUACCAGUUGUUCUGCCAAGGGCAUAGCUGGGUAGCUAUGUGCGGAAGGGAUAAGUGCUGAAAGCAUCUAAGCAUGAAGCCCCCCUCAAGAUGAGAUUUCCCAUAGCGUAAGCUAGU